GGAGGUUAUAGCUCAGUUGGUUAGAGCAUCGGAUUGUGGUUCCGAGGGUCGUGGGUUCGAGCCCCAUUAAUCUCCC
This 76-nucleotide transfer RNA is filed under the name Chitinophagales bacterium. RNAcentral's name for it is "tRNA-His". It matches the Rfam family "tRNA". Rfam says of the family: Transfer RNA (tRNA) molecules are approximately 80 nucleotides in length. Their secondary structure includes four short double-helical elements and three loops (D, anti-codon, and T loops). The record is from RNAcentral. Lineage: Bacteria; Pseudomonadati; Bacteroidota; Chitinophagia; Chitinophagales.